GAUGAACGCUGGCGGCGUGCCUAAUACAUGCCAGUCGAGCGAACGGACGAGAAGCUUGCUUCUCUGAUGUUAGCGGCGGACGGGUGAGUAACACGUGGAUAACCUACCUAUAAGACUGGGAUAACUUCGGGAAACCGGAGCUAAUACCGGAUAAUAUUUUGAACCACAUGGUUCAAAAGUGAAAGACGGUCUUGCUGUCACUUAUAGAUGGAUCCGCGCUGCAUUAGCUAGUUGGUAAGGUAACGGCUUACCAAGGCAACGAUGCAUAGCCGACCUGAGAGGGUGAUCGGCCACACUGGAACUGAGACACGGUCCAGACUCCUACGGGAGGCAGCAGUAGGGAAUCUUCCGCAAUGGGCGAAAGCCUGACGGAGCAACGCCGCGUGAGUGAUGAAGGUCUUCGGAUCGUAAAACUCUGUUAUUAGGGAAGAACAUAUGUGUAAGUAACUGUGCACAUCUUGACGGUACCUAAUCAGAAAGCCACGGCUAACUACGUG
RNAcentral lists this ribosomal RNA (497 nucleotides) under uncultured bacterium. RNAcentral describes it as "partial 16S ribosomal RNA". It matches the Rfam family "Bacterial small subunit ribosomal RNA", at positions 28 to 507 of the family's 1533-position model. The record is from RNAcentral.